GCUCUCUCUCUCUCCAAUUCCACUUUGCCGGUAGAUUGGUUGAUUUGCUUGGUUGAAGUCCUAUAGAUGCAUUGCCUGGCUGCAAACAAAUACUGUCACCUGCUUUUUCUAUUCGUUUCACCGCCCUGACCAAUUAGAGAAAAUAAACCACUGCUGAAAUGUCCACUAACAACAGUAGAAAGAAAUAUUUGGUGAUUGUGAGUUCGCCAGUUGGGUGUGUGCAAGUUCCUUGAUCGAGUCCAUGUGGAUGAUUUGUUCAAUAUUACUUUUCGGCAUAAAUAAAAUAAAUUUAUAUGCUAGACCUUCCUUCUUAUCUAGCUUACCAUACCAAGGGCAAUAACGAACCGUAUUAUUGUCGCGCACAUGCUGAGAAAAAAUUCCAAAUAUGUUCUCAUGUUCUGAUGUUGGUUGGAUGGUUGAUCUUCGGAAGAAUGCAAACUAGCUAGAUUGCAAUUCAAAUAAUUGUUUGAUUUUUCAGAUGGUCGAUUACUAAUCCACUGAUCAACAAUACAAUGCAAUGGCUACAUCGCAUUGCUCAUGACCUUAUAGUUAAUUAUGUUAAGUUAAAGAUAUAAGUGAUCUGUUUGUGUCUUUGCAGUUCUUUUGUUCUUCAGGUGUGCCUGUUGUCGACUUUUGUUUUUGCUGGUUGUACUUCUUUAUCAUUUUUGCCAGUCUUAUUUCACCAGAUAAAUUUUUUUUUUGCUCAGACCACCUAAACAAUUUAAUACAGUAUUUUCGUGACCAAAAGGACCAUUUGUCUGCUAUGCAUAUGAUGUCCAGAUUGUACUUGCAGCCUGUAAUUUUAUCUUUCUUUGUUUCCUUACAUACUAUUAUCUCUCUGAUAGACUUUUGUUUCAAGUUUCAACUUGAUAAUUGUUUCUGUAUGGUUAACACCUAAAAAACAAAAUGCUACAACCUGCGUGUCUAAAAGAUCGUGCAACCUUCAAACCAUUUAAAGCUUAAAUCUGUACCCAAACAUUUUGUUCAAUAAAAACAUGUUUCAACUGUGUUUCCUCCACUGAAGACUUGUGGUAUCUGAACAUGAACUGAGUUGUGAUAUGAAGGUUAUAAUCAGCAGCGGGUCCCGUGGAUAACUCUAUAAGAACAGUGAUUUAUGGAUUAGCAGCUGGUUCAGUGCAUUCUACUGAAGCUGCAGACUGUUCAUGCCGAUUUGAGUGUUCCUUUAAAUUAUGUACAAUAUGAUAUAGCUGUUAAUGGAAUUGUUACUGAAGGAAGCCAGAAAUAAAGUAGCACCACGUCCAAGAGUUGGCUGCUCAAAUGGUCUUCUCACACAUUGUAAGUGGUGGUGCACAAGCUGUGAGUCCAAACUUCAGUUAUGAAGUACACAAGACAGAAAUGAUCACACGGGGAUAUUAGUCCUUCCUUGGUGGAAUUAACGGUGCUUCUGAAGUGUUGCCGAAUGACAGUUAAUCAUGUUCAUAGGGUCUCAUGUUCCAUCUUCGUUGGAUAUUUCUGCCAUUGACAUUUGAUGGCAGUUUUUGGCUAGAGGCCAGUUCUUGGGAUGUCCCGAUCUGUCUGAUAAUUCAACUUUUGUCCCUCCUUCUGAUUGUGGUCUAUCUGUCCCACGUGUGGCUGGGUUUACCACUGGCUUUGGUCCGGAGGACCCUGCCCCUCCUGGGCCUGCUGCUGGCGUUGUUCGGCGCACUUCCUCUACACAUUCCGUUGCAGGCACUCCUUUUGUUUUUCCUGCAUAGGCCACUCUUCACUGCCGUAGAGUAUUCAGAGGUGCCGGCUCCUGGUGAAGUUUGUCUAUUUUUUGGUAACUAUACAUUUUGGUUCCAGUUUUCAGAUGUUUACAGUCUUUUGCCUUUUCACAGGCCUUCCUUUUGGCUUCCAAUUACUCUUCAGUGCUCAAAUAGUAGAUUUAUUGAAACGUAGGCUUCCCCUGUUACUUCGUAGAAAGUGUUUAUCUGGAUAUAUGUAUAUGCCAUCUUGAUUGUUUGCAUUUAAAAACCAAUUACUCAAUUCCGUAUUUUUGUCAGCUGGCUGGCUUGGUCGUUCAUACCAUGGCAGUCCCCACCAAGUUUGUUGUGUACGGUGUCUGAUGUCCAUGGAUAGAUUGGGACUACAAAAGCUAGCAACAAAUUCUAAGGGGUGUGCUUCAGCUUAUAUUUACCAUGCUUACAAGUGUGCUCACAUCAUUUCCGUGAUACCGACCACCUCUCUGUGCAACGGAGACCGCAGCUGCUUAGUCUGUUUCCAGAAUUUUUGUCGCUCUGACCCUUCUGCUCUACUCGCAUGAAAUAAGAAAAUGAAUUCACGAAGAGUGAAGCACAUGGGAGUGUGGAAAUCGAUGCAUGUGUCCUGAACAACGAGAGUUCAUGGAGAGAAAAACACAAUUCUAUCAUGAGGUAAUUAUACUCUUCGCCUUCUUGACGCCUUAUUAGUUCACACCAGAUAUCUCUAAGCAUGGAUAUUUUCCAUGUUUAUGCUCAUGGAACCACUGCUGCCCAUCUUAGGUAUGUACACGGCAAUUUCACAUUAAAUGAUAUGCCAUCUACAGCACCUCAUUAGAUACUGAUAGUUCCAAUUUCACACAAGGCAUGAAAAACUGUACUUCCAUUAGAUACUGAUAGUUCCAAUUUCACACAACGCAUGAAAAACUGUACUGCCAACUACAGCACCUCAUUAUUUAACUAACUAUCAGACCUUUUGUACUCUCCUAGGCCCUUCAUACUCCAUGUACAACUUCCAACCCUUAAAUGUUAUUUGUCCGUAUAAUAUACACCCAGACGCCUGCAAAUUACCAGUAUACACUCUUUUGCAGCAGUUUCCACUGCCACCUUA
RNA transcript from Lolium rigidum, 2808 nucleotides. RefSeq lists it as uncharacterized. The record is from RefSeq and is a predicted model, not a curated record. The transcript has 5 exons. Lineage: Eukaryota; Viridiplantae; Streptophyta; Magnoliopsida; Poales; Poaceae.